RNAcentral lists this ribosomal RNA (207 nucleotides) under uncultured bacterium. RNAcentral describes it as "partial 16S ribosomal RNA". It matches the Rfam family "Bacterial small subunit ribosomal RNA", at positions 568 to 774 of the family's 1533-position model. The record is from RNAcentral.
CACGUAGGCGGUCUGGCAAGUCUGGUGUGAAAGCCCUCGGCUCAACCGAGGAACUGCACCAGAAACUGCCGGACUAGAGUUCGGGAGAGGAGAGUGGAAUUCCCAGUGUAGCGGUGAAAUGCGUAGAUAUUGGGAGGAACACCUGUGGCGAAGGCGGCUCUCUGGACCGAUACUGACGCUGAGGUGCGAAAGCGUGGGGAGCAAACA